RNAcentral lists this long non-coding RNA (686 nucleotides) under Pan troglodytes (chimpanzee). RNAcentral describes it as "lncRNA (ENSPTRG00000053284.1)". The record is from RNAcentral. Lineage: Eukaryota; Metazoa; Chordata; Mammalia; Primates; Hominidae.
CCUGGUCCUGUGACCUCCUGAUGUCCCACGGAAAGGCCCCGUGGUCCCUCUGGGAUGACACAGUGGCCCCUUGCCUUUCAGAUGAAUAUUGUGUAUUCCGGGAUCCCUGAGUAUGUCGGGGUGAACAUCACAAAGCUACGUCUUGGCAGUGUGGUGGUGGAGCAUGACGUCCUCCUAAGAACCAAGUACACACCAGAAUACAAGACAGUAUUGGACAAUGCCACCGAAGUAGUGAAAGAGAAAAUCACAAAUGUGACCGCACAGCAAAUAAUGAUUAAUGAUAUUUGCUCAGCCAUGAUGUGUUUCAACACCACUGGCACCCAAGUGCAAAACAUUACGGUGACCCAGUACGACCCUGAAGGUAGGUGAUAACACAAGGGGUUUGGGGGAAGGCUGGAGAGGUGGGGAGCCCAGGAGGAGUGGGACAGUGUCCCCCCAGCCCUCUGAUCACGGCUGCUCCCUGUCCCUGCACCCCCCACCAGAGGACUGCCGGAAGAUGGCCAAGGAAUAUGGAGACUACUUCGUAGUGGAGUACCGGGACCAGAAGCCAUACUGCAUCAGCCCCUGUGAGCCUGGCUUCAAUGUCUCCAAGAACUGUAGCCUCGGCAAGUGCCAGAUGUCUCUAAGUGGACCCCAGUGCCUGUGAGUGCUCCCCCAUCUCCUCCAGCCCAGCCCAGACGUCCUGG